UAUUUUUAUUAUUUUUAUAAAUUUAUUUUUAUUGGUGUUCAAUUGGAGCCCUUUUAUUUUAAACCAUGGUAACAGGUGCCUUUGCAGAAGUGAUUUCCUAAGUCCUGGGGUCUUAUUUUUUAUUUUUUUUUUAAGAUUUCAUUUAUUUAUUCAUGGGAGACAGACAGAGGCAGAGACACAGGCAGAGGGAGAAUCAGGUUCUAUGCAGGGAGCCGGAUGUGGGACUCGAUCCGGGGACUCCAGAAUCAUGCCCAGAUGCUCAACCACUGAGCCACCUGGGCAUCCCCAAGUCCUGGGGUCUUAAGAGGGUUGGUGUCUUGGACUUACGGAGGGCUUAGCUUGGGAAAAUCAAGGUCAGUUGAUUCCCAAAUCAGCUUCAGUCCCUAAAAAAUAGUUUUGGCCUCUCUUUAAAUUCUUGGGCUGCAGUGUCCGCAUCCUGCAACUGCUGCAUCUUUGUGUGUAUUUUCUAUGCACCCGUAUAUAUGUCAUUUUGCAGUGAAUCCGACUUACUUUUGCAGGUCAACAAAUCCCACAGAUUAGUCUGUGUUGCCUUUUCGUUUUGCUGGAAUUGAGUUUGUUAACCUUUCUCGGGAAAAAAGGAAGCACGCAGCAUUUGUCUUUAUUCAACCCUCUUCCUUUUCAUGGUUCUGGCCUGUGGCGUGGCCUGUGGCGUGGCCUGUGGCGUGGCCUGUGGUGUGGCCUGUGGCAUCAGUCUCUGCUUACCCCAGGCCACCGAGUAGAAGCGCGACAGAGAGGCGCGUGUUGCUCGUUGGCUUGUGUUUAAACAGCUGAACACCUGGCUGCUCGUGUGCAGGUGCACAGAGCUCUGGAGAAGGGGUUGCAACUGAAGACACACAGAAGAAUGGAUGCGAGGUGCAGAGACACCUGGAGUUUGGAGCCGGAAGGCCCUGGGAGCCCGCGUGGUCCAUCUCACAGAGAGGCCCCUGUCGCCCCCGGGCCCUGUCCGGAGGACAAGCAGGCCGGGCCCGAAGCGCAGGACAGGGCCCUCGCCCGCCUCCACCCAGCCGGGUGGCUCCCAGGGUGGGAUUCGGGGCGCUCGCCUCACCGGCCGCACCCCCGAGCCUGGAGCCUGUGCGCCCAUUUGUCGCCCCCCGUUCGGACGUGAACCGGAGUCCCGACCGGGUGUCCGGGCCGAGCGGCACCCCUGCGUGUCACAGCGGCCCUCCUCGGUUGGCACCCCCGUCGCUGGAAACACUCGCCUAGGAAGCCCCCCGGUGCCUCUCCGGGGAAGCAAGCGGCCUGCACCCCCUAUCUGGGCCCCCCUUCACCCACUUCCAGGGGGUUCUCUGAGUGCUUGCUUGCUCCAGGGUCUUCGGGGCUGA
This 1343-nucleotide long non-coding RNA is filed under the name Canis lupus dingo (dingo). RNAcentral's name for it is "lncRNA (ENSCAFG00020006419.1)". The record is from RNAcentral. Lineage: Eukaryota; Metazoa; Chordata; Mammalia; Carnivora; Canidae.